Manihot esculenta (cassava) is the source of this 2085-nucleotide RNA transcript. It is a transcript of the gene named APO protein 4, mitochondrial, with no coding region annotated. Lineage: Eukaryota; Viridiplantae; Streptophyta; Magnoliopsida; Malpighiales; Euphorbiaceae. The transcript has 4 exons. The record is from RefSeq and is a predicted model, not a curated record.
GCCAGCCGUUGUAGGCCGUGGCAGUGUGGCCUUUUUUCUCACUGGCCGUUGCUAUUCAUUCCUUUUGAUCAUCCAACGCCAUCUCGUUUCCGAAGCGAAACUUAUUCAGACCAGAGUCAGUACGCAGUAAUAAACAAGCAUCAAGCAGGAGCACAUGAAAGGCCAAGAAAGGCAAAGUUGCCAGCGAAAGCAUCACUUGGACUGGUUGUGAUGUUGAGCAAGGAAAACGGCGUCGCAUAAGGGUUACAGCUUUGAAACGGUGUAGUUUUAAUGCGAUAACUAUUUUGUGUCAGCGUCACACGAGGAAGAGGAACAGAAAAGCCCAGCAGCUCACGUCUGGAUCGCGCUAACCCUACCCUUUGCCGAUGUUGUAUAUUCCAAUUUGAUCCCAGGAGAAGCUAUUCGCUUGAUUUUGAUCUCAUGCAACAACAUAUUAUACAUUAUCUACGAUUACCAUCUGUUUAAGGAAUGCUUUAAAUGGCUUUGAGGAAGAUAAUGUGGCAAAAUCUUGCGGCAGAUUGCAGUAGAUGCAUUACGCAAUUCAGAUGUUAUAGCUCCCAAAUUGUCUGGAAAGAACUGCGGCCUAUGAUGCUGAAGAGAAUAGAAGAGCGACCUAAGGACUAUCCUAUACGGGACAUGGUUCCCGUUGCUCGAGAUGUCCUCAAGGCGAGAAUGCUUCUUAUUCAAGGGGUUUCCACUCUCAUCCAAGCGAUUCCCGUAGUUGCUUGCAAGUUCUGUCCAGAAGUAUAUAUUGGAGAGAAAGGUCAUUUAAUUCAGACUUGCUGGGGUUACAAUAGACGUGGCGCUAAAAAUCGGGUUCAUGAAUGGAUUACUGGUGGUUUAAAUGAUAUACUUAUCCCAGUAGAGACAUUUCGCCUGAGUAAUAUGUCCCAAAAGGUUAUUAAACAUAACCAAAGAUUCAAUUUUGAUCGCAUUCCUGCAGUUGUUGAGCUAUGCAGGCAGGCAGGUGUUGAUCUAACUACUGAGAAUUUGUACCCCAGUACAAGUACUUCCCAAUCUGGUCUCGGUGGUAUUGAUGGAGCUGUCUCUUUGUCAUCUGGGGAGCUUAACUUUGUAGCCAAUAGAACAUUGAGAGCAUGGGAGACCCUUAGAUCAGGGGUGCAAAAGUUGUUGGUUUAUCCAGCAAAAGUUUGCAAGUAUUGUUCAGAAAUUCAUGUAGGCCCAUCUGGACACAAGGAUCGCUUUUGUGGUAUAUUUAGGCAUGAGAAUUUGCAUCCAUCACACUUAUGGAGGAAGGCAAGGGUAGAUGAUCUGGUGCCUCCUAAGAUUGUUUGGCGGCAACGACCUCAAGAUCCUCCGGUUCUCUUAAAUAAGGGGCGGGAGUUUUAUGGACAUGCACCAGCAGUGGUGGAUCUGUGCACAAAGGCUGGUGUUAUUACACCACCAAAGUAUUCUUGCAUGAUGAAAGUUCAGGGGUUGUCAGCACCAGUUUGAUUUUGAAGAGCUCUACUAAGCGAAUAAGUAGGGGGCUGGGCGUCUAGGUAUUCUGUUUUGGCAGUUGGAACUCUAGGUCAUACUCAAGUCGGAAAUAAGUUACAAGCGCAAAAGCAAAGCAGAUAAUGGACGUUUCACCGCGAUGCAAGUGAUACUGGAAUGUGACAUGCAUAGCUUUUGAAUUUCUACUGUAAAUUUCGAUAUUUCUAAUUGGAAAAUCUAUUUUGAGAGGCCUUUGCAAUCUAUUCAUUUGCUGCAAAACAAUGGACAGUAAAUUCCCUUCUUGUUUUUUUUUUUUUUAUUUUUUAUUUUUUUUAUUUAUUUUUAUUUUUUUUUUAUAGCCGUAUGCUAUUCGUGGACGGCAUCAUGUGCGACUCGAGUUCGGGUCUUGGCGAAAAAUACAACCUUUUCUUCUAUGUUGUAGUCCUGGAGCAGUCAAUUCUUUGAAUUCUGCGUCCCACAACAGAAGGAAGUGGCUCUAUACCAUAACAUUUUUCAGCCACAACAACUAGUAAGUAAUAAUAGAGGCUGGAAGAACCUUGUAGUGAAGGGCAAGCAUUUAUGUGUGCAAUGGAAUAUUGAGACCUGAGGCUGGUUUCCGCAAAGCUUGAAAUCUAUUAUUGUUAUUUU